UAACAAGGAUUCCCCUAGUAACUGCGAGUGAAGCGGGAAAAGCUCAAAUUUAAAAUCUGGCGGCUUUGGUCGUCCGAGUUGUAUUCUAGAGAAGUGUUUUCCGCGUUGGACCGUGUAUAAGUCUCUUGGAAUAGAGCGUCAUAGAGGGUGAGAAUCCCGUCUUUGACACGGACUACCAAUGCUUUGUGAUACACUCUCAAAGAGUCGAGUUGUUUGGGAAUGCAGCUCAAAAUGGGUGGUAAAUUCCAUCUAAAGCUAAAUAUUGGCGAGAGACCGAUAGCGAACAAGUACCGUGAGGGAAAGAUGAAAAGCACUUUGGAAAGAGAGUUAAACAGUACGUGAAAUUGCUGAAAGGGAAACGCUUGAAGUCAGUCGCGUUAGCUAGAACUCAACCAGGCUUGCUUGGCGUAUUUUCUAGUUAACGGGCCAGCAUCAGUUUUGACCGCAGGAAAAGGGCCAGGGAAAUGUGGCAUCUUCGGAUGUGUUAUAGUCUCUGGUCGUAUACUGUGAUUGGGACUGAGGACCGCAGCACGCGCAAGCUGUGCUUAGGAUGCUGGCGUAA
RNAcentral lists this ribosomal RNA (562 nucleotides) under Irpex lacteus. RNAcentral's name for it is "LSU rRNA". It matches the Rfam family "Eukaryotic large subunit ribosomal RNA", at positions 66 to 634 of the family's 3401-position model. The record is from RNAcentral. Lineage: Eukaryota; Fungi; Basidiomycota; Agaricomycetes; Polyporales; Irpicaceae.